GAGUUUGAUCCUGGCUCAGAUGAACGCUGGCGGCGUUCUUAACACAUGCAAGUCGAACGAUGAUGCCCAGCUUGCUGGGUGGAUUAGUGGCGAACGGGUGAGUAACACGUGAGUAACCUGCCCCUGACUCUGGGAUAAGCCUGAGAAAUUGGGUCUAAUACUGAUACGAGCAUCUACCGCAUGGUGGGUGUUGGAAAGAUUUUUUGGUUGGGGAUGGACUCGCGGCCUAUCAGCUUGUUGGUGAGGUAGUGGCUCACCAAGGCGACACGGGUAGCCGGCCUGAGAGGGUGACCGGCCACACUGGGACUGAGACACGGCCCACACUCCUACGGGAGGCAGCAGUGGGGAAUAUUGCACAAUGGGCGAAAGCCUGAUGCACGACGCCGCGUGAGGGAUGACGGCCUUCGGGUUGUAAACCUCUUUCAGUAAGGAAGAAGCGAAAGUGACGGUACUUGCAGAAGAAGCGCCGGCUAACUACGUGCCAGCAGCCGCGGUAUACGUAUGGCGCGAGCGUUAUCCGGAAUUAUUGGGCGUAAAGCCCGCGUAGCCUUUCUUAAGUCUGAUGUGAAAACCCACGGCUCACCGUGGAGGGUCAUUGGAAACUGGGGAACUUUGAGUGCCAAAAGAGAUGGAAUUUCAUGUGUAGCGGUGAAAGCCAAGAUAUGGAGGAACACCA
Molecule: ribosomal RNA, 676 nt
Filed under: uncultured actinomycete
Lineage: Bacteria; Bacillati; Actinomycetota; Actinomycetes; Actinomycetales
Description: bacterial SSU rRNA
Rfam family: Bacterial small subunit ribosomal RNA
Source: RNAcentral